Non-coding RNA from Paludibacter sp. SCN 50-10, 217 nucleotides. The record is from Rfam. NCBI's taxonomy places the organism in Bacteria, Pseudomonadati, Bacteroidota, Bacteroidia, Bacteroidales, Paludibacteraceae.
UACCUUUGCACUUGCAUUGGUUCUCCUGUAGCAUUCGCUUCCGGAGAUUAAAAGGGAAUCAGGUGUAAGUCCUGAACAGUCCCGCUGCUGUAAGCUCUUGGUUUCAAACGAAACUGAAGUCGUGAACACAACUCAAUCCACUGUUCCGUGUACCGGAAUGGGAAGGAGGUUCAACGAUGGAGUAAGUCAGAAGACCUGCCAUGCUUGAUUUAGUUUU